This 458-nucleotide unclassified non-coding RNA is filed under the name Hevea brasiliensis (rubber tree). The record is from RNAcentral. Lineage: Eukaryota; Viridiplantae; Streptophyta; Magnoliopsida; Malpighiales; Euphorbiaceae.
CAACUAGUUUGGGAUUAAGGCUUGGUGGUGUUGUCAUCGUCUAUAGCCAAUCAAAAUUCAAUGAUAAAUAAAUGUUGGUUAAUACUUUGAUGAUCGUUAUUUAUUGAAUACCUAAGCAGCACGGAAACACUGAUACAUGGAAACACAUAAAUAGAUACAGGGAAACGACAUUUCUCAGAAAAGUGUGAAAUGAAAACGUGGGAAAACAUGUAGGUAUUAAAAAUAUAGGGGUAUAUUUAUAAGUAUUAAUUUUUGAUAUUGAUUUUUUUUUUUAUUUUGUUAAAUUGAAAUAAAUGGCAAAAACUAUUGAAAAGUGAGGAAGAAUUUUAUUAAUGAAAAGGAUAUGUACAGAAGUGAUCUCACAUAGCUUAUAUAUACAUUAGCUACUUAGAAACUGUUAUCAACAUAAACAAUAAGCAAAAUAAUCUUACUUUUACAGUGUUUCAUAAAUAGAGUAU